GGGAGGGAGUUUGAAUAAACAUUUUGCUUACACUAAAAAGAUACUCUUGAGAGUGCUCUCUAA
Molecule: transfer RNA, 63 nt
Filed under: Artemia franciscana
Lineage: Eukaryota; Metazoa; Arthropoda; Branchiopoda; Anostraca; Artemiidae
Also listed under: 1 other name
Description: transfer RNA-Val
Source: RNAcentral